AUUGUCUAUGAUGAUGUCUUAUCUUUGAGAUGCACAAUGAAACUAUUUCUACAUGCACUACCAUCUGAGACAAU
Small nucleolar RNA from Protopterus annectens (West African lungfish), 74 nucleotides. The record is from RefSeq and is a predicted model, not a curated record. Lineage: Eukaryota; Metazoa; Chordata; Ceratodontiformes; Protopteridae.